UGGCGAGUGGCGAACGGGUGAGUAAUACAUCGGAACGUGUCCUGUAGUGGGGGAUAGCCCGGCGAAAGCCGGAUUAAUACCGCAUACGAUCUACGGAAGAAAGCGGGGGAUCGCAAGACCUCGCGCUAUAGGGGCGGCCGAUGGCAGAUUAGCUAGUUGGUGGGGUAAAGGCCUACCAAGGCGACGAUCUGUAGCUGGUCUGAGAGGACGACCAGCCACACUGGGACUGAGACACGGCCCAGACUCCUACGGGAGGCAGCAGUGGGGAAUUUUGGACAAUGGGGGAAACCCUGAUCCAGCAAUGCCGCGUGUGUGAAGAAGGCCUUCGGGUUGUAAAGCACUUUUGUCCGGAAAGAAAACUUCUGCCCUAAUACGGUGGGAGGAUGACGGUACCGGAAGAAUAAGCACCGGCUAACUACGUGCCAGCAGCCGCGGUAAUACGUAGGGUGCGAGCGUUAAUCGGAAUUACUGGGCGUAAAGCGUGCGCAGGCGGUUCGUUAAGACAGAUGUGAAAUCCCCGGGCUUAACCUGGGAACUGCAUUUGUGACUGGCGAGCUAGAGUAUGGCAGAGGGGGGUAGAAUUCCACGUGUAGCAGUGAAAUGCGUAGAGAUGUGGAGGAAUACCGAUGGCGAAGGCAGCCCCCUGGGCCAAUACUGACGCUCAUGCACGAA
This 672-nucleotide ribosomal RNA is filed under the name soil bacterium Carb-S1A-M1LLLSSL-3. RNAcentral describes it as "bacterial SSU rRNA". It matches the Rfam family "Bacterial small subunit ribosomal RNA", at positions 89 to 757 of the family's 1533-position model. The record is from RNAcentral.